AGAGUUUGAUCCUGGCUCAGAUUGAACGCUGGCGGAAUGCUUUACACAUGCAAGUCGAACGGUAGAGGGGGCAACCCCUCGAGAGUGGCGAACGGGUGAGUAAUAUAUCGGAACGUGCCCAGUCGUGGGGGAUAACGUAGCGAAAGUUACGCUAAUACCGCAUACGAUCUACGGAUGAAAGCGGGGGACUCGCAAGAGCCUCGCGCGAUUGGAGCGGCCGAUAUCAGAUUAGGUAGUUGGUGGGGUAAAGGCUCACCAAGCCAACGAUCUGUAGCUGGUCUGAGAGGACGACCAGCCACACUGGAACUGAGACACGGUCCAGACUCCUACGGGAGGCAGCAGUGGGGAAUUUUGGACAAUGGACGCAAGUCUGAUCCAGCCAUUCCGCGUGCAGGAUGAAGGCCCUCGGGUUGUAAACUGCUUUUGUACGGAACGAAAAGGUCUCUAUUAAUACUAGGGGCUCAUGACGGUACCGUAAGAAUAAGCACCGGCUAACUACGUGCCAGCAGCCGCGGUAAUACGUAGGGUGCAAGCGUUAAUCGGAAUUACUGGGCGUAAAGCGUGCGCAGGCGGUUAUGUAAGACAGAGGUGAAAUCCCCGGGCUCAACCUGGGAACUGCCUUUGUGACUGCAUAGCUAGAGUACGGUAGAGGGGGAUGGAAUUCCGCGUGUAGCAGUGAAAUGCGUAGAUAUGCGGAGGAACACCGAUGGCGAAGGCAAUCCCCUGGACCUGUACUGACGCUCAUGCACGAAAGCGUGGGGAGCAAACAGGAUUAGAUACCCUGGUAGUCCACGCCCUAA
RNAcentral lists this ribosomal RNA (800 nucleotides) under uncultured bacterium. Its description in RNAcentral is "bacterial SSU rRNA". It matches the Rfam family "Bacterial small subunit ribosomal RNA", at positions 8 to 805 of the family's 1533-position model. The record is from RNAcentral.